AGGAAGUUAGUCUCUAAGCAAGACAGCUGAUUUCGACUCAGCAAACCAUAGGCCUCCCCUAUGACCCUCUU
Molecule: transfer RNA, 71 nt
Filed under: Poicephalus rufiventris
Lineage: Eukaryota; Metazoa; Chordata; Aves; Psittaciformes; Psittacidae
Description: tRNA-Arg
Source: RNAcentral